CCAGAGGUUCCGAUUAUGGCUCAGAUUGAACGCUGGCAGGAUGCUUUACACAUGCAAGUCGAACGGCAGCACGGACUUCGGUCUGGUGGCGAGUGGCGAACGGGUGAGUAAUGUAUCGGAACGUGCCUAGUAGCGGGGGAUAACUACGCGAAAGCGUAGCUAAUACCGCAUACGCCCUUCGAGGAAAGCGGGGGACCUUCGGGCCUCGCACUAUUAGAGCGGCCGAUAUCGGAUUGGCUAGUUGGUGGGGUAACGGCUCGCAAGGCGACGAUCCGUAGCUGGUUUGAAGAGGACGACCAGCCACACUGGGACUGAGACACGGCCCAGACUCCUACGGGAGGCAGCAGUGGGGAAUUUUGGACAAUGGAAACCCUGAUCCAGCCAUCCCGCGUGUGCGAUGAAGGCCUUCGGGUUGUAAAGCACUUUUUGGCGGAAAGAAACGGCACGGGAUAAUACCCCGUGCAACUGACGGUACCUGCAGAAUAAGCACCGGCUAACUACGUGCCAGCAGCCGCGGUAAUACGUAGGUGCAAGCGUUAAUCAGGUACUGGGCGUAAAGCGUGCGCAGGCGGUUCGGAAAAGAAGAUGUGAAAUCCCAGAGCUUAACUUUGGAACUGCAUUUUUAACUACCGAGCUAAGAAGUGUGUCAGAGGGAGGUGGAAUUCCGCGUGUAGCAGUGAAAUGCGUAGAUAUGCGGAGGAACACCGAUGGCGAAGCCUCCUGGGAUAACACUGACGCUCAUGCACGAAAGCGUGGGGAGCAAACAGGAUUAGAUACCCUGGUCCACGCCCUAAACGAUGUCAACUAGCUGUUGGGGCCUUCGGGCCUUGGUAGCGCAGCUAACGCGUGAAGUUGACCGCCUGGGGGAGAGUACGGUCAUAAGAUUAAACUCAAAGGAAUUGACGGGGACCCGCACAACGUGGAUGAUGUGGAUUAAUUCAGUGCAACGCGAAAAACCUUACCUACCCUUGACAUGUCUGGAAUCCCGAAGAGAUUUGGGAGUGCUCGCAAGAGAACCGGAACACAGGUGCUGCAUGGCUGUGUCGUCAGCUCGUGUCGUGAGAUGUUGGGUUAAGUCCCGCAACGAGCGCAACCCUUGUCAUUAGUUGCUACGAGGCACUCUAAUGAGACUGCCGGUGACAAACCGGAGGAAGGUGGGGAUGACGUCAAGUCCUCAUGGCCCUUAUGGGUAGGGCUUCACACGUCAUACAAUGGUCGGGACAGAGGUCGCCAACCCGCGAGGAGCCAAUCGAAACCCGAUCGUAGUCCGGAUCGCAGUCUGCAACUCGACUGCGUGAAGUCGGAAUCGCUAGUAAUCGCGGAUCAGCAUGUCGCGGUGAAUACGUUCCCGGGUCUUGUACACACCGCCCGUCACACCAUGGGAGUGGGUUUUGCAGAAGUGGUCAGCCUAACCGUAAGGAGGGCGAUUACCACGGUAAGUUCAUGACUGGGGUGAAGUCGUAACAAGGUAG
RNAcentral lists this ribosomal RNA (1472 nucleotides) under uncultured Bordetella sp. RNAcentral describes it as "partial 16S-23S ribosomal RNA intergenic spacer". It matches the Rfam family "Bacterial small subunit ribosomal RNA". The record is from RNAcentral. Lineage: Bacteria; Pseudomonadati; Pseudomonadota; Betaproteobacteria; Burkholderiales; Alcaligenaceae.